Molecule: ribosomal RNA, 647 nt
Filed under: bacterium HN2-5-32
Lineage: Bacteria
Description: bacterial SSU rRNA
Rfam family: Bacterial small subunit ribosomal RNA
Source: RNAcentral
CCUACGGGAGGCAGCAGUAGGGAAUCUUCCACAAUGGGCGAAAGCCUGAUUGGAGCAACGCCGCGUGAGUGAAGAAGGUUUUCGGAUCGUAAAACUCUGUUGUAAGGGAAGAACAAGUGCAGUAGUAACUGGCUGCACCUUGACGGUACCUUAUUAGAAAGCCACGGCUAACUACGUGCCAGCAGCCGCGGUAAUACGUAGGUGGCAAGCGUUGUCCGGAAUUAUUGGGCGUAAAGCGCGCGCAGGCGGUUUCUUAAGUCUGAUGUGAAAGCCCUCGGCUUAACCGAGGAGGGUCAUUGGAAACUGGGAGACUUGAGUGCAGAAGAGGAAAGUGGAAUUCCAAGUGUAGCGGUGAAAUGCGUAGAGAUUUGGAGGAACACCAGUGGCGAAGGCGACUUUCUGGUCUGUAACUGACGCUGAGGCGCGAAAGCGUGGGGGAGCAAACAGGAUUAGAUACCCUGGUAGUCCACGCCGUAAACGAUGAGUGCUAAGUGUUAGGGGGUUUCCGCCCCUUAGUGCUGCAGCUAACGCAUUAAGCACUCCGCCUGGGGAGUACGGUCGCAAGACUGAAACUCAAAGGAAUUGACGGGGGCCCGCACAAGCGGUGGAGCAUGUGGUUUAAUUCGAAGCAACGCGAAGAACCUUAC